RNAcentral lists this ribosomal RNA (466 nucleotides) under uncultured bacterium. RNAcentral describes it as "partial 16S ribosomal RNA". It matches the Rfam family "Bacterial small subunit ribosomal RNA", at positions 28 to 507 of the family's 1533-position model. The record is from RNAcentral.
GAUGAACGCUGGCGGCGUGCUUAACACAUGCAAGUCGAACGGAAAGGCUCCUGCUUGCAGGGGUACUCGAGUGGCGAACGGGUGAGUAACACGUGGGUGAUCUGCCCUGCACUUCGGGAUAAGCCUGGGAAACUGGGUCUAAUACCGGAUAGGACGAUGGUUUGGAUGCCAUUGUGGAAAGUUUUUUCGGUGUGGGAUGAGCUCGCGGCCUAUCAGCUUGUUGGUGGGGUAAUGGCCUACCAAGGCGUCGACGGGUAGCCGGCCUGAGAGGGUGUACGGCCACAUUGGGACUGAGAUACGGCCCAGACUCCUACGGGAGGCAGCAGUGGGGAAUAUUGCACAAUAGGCGCAAGCCUAAUGCAACGACGCCGCGUGGGGGAUGACGGCCUUCGGGUUGCAAACUCCUUUCGCUAGGGACGAAGCGCAAGUGACGGUACCUGGAGAAGAAGCACCGGCUAACUACGUG